GACGAACACUGGCGGCGUGCUUAACACAUGCAAGUCGAACGGAAAGGCCUCUUUCGGGGGGUACUCGAGUGGCGAACGGGUGAGUAACACGUGAGUAACCUGCCCUUGACUUUGGGAUAACUUCAGGAAACUGGGGCUAAUACCGGAUAGGAGCUCCUGCUGCAUGGUGGGGGUUGGAAAGUUUCGGCGGUUGGGGAUGGACUCGCGGCUUAUCAGCUUGUUGGUGGGGUAGUGGCUUACCAAGGCUUUGACGGUUAGCCGGCCUGAGAGGGUGACCGGCCACAUUGGGCCUGAGAUAGGCCCCAGAUCCCAAGGGGAGGAAGAGGGGGGAAUAAUGCACAAUGGGUGGGAGGCCGGUGGAGGAAAGCCGGGGGGCGGAAGAAGGGCUUUGGGGUGUAAACCGGUUUUGGUCAUGACCAAGGCUUGGGUGACGGUAAUUGGUAAAGAAGCACCGGCUAACUACGUG
This 466-nucleotide ribosomal RNA is filed under the name uncultured bacterium. RNAcentral describes it as "partial 16S ribosomal RNA". It matches the Rfam family "Bacterial small subunit ribosomal RNA", at positions 28 to 507 of the family's 1533-position model. The record is from RNAcentral.